This is a long non-coding RNA of Dermacentor andersoni, 294 nucleotides long. RefSeq lists it as uncharacterized. The record is from RefSeq and is a predicted model, not a curated record. NCBI's taxonomy places the organism in Eukaryota, Metazoa, Arthropoda, Arachnida, Ixodida, Ixodidae.
GCAUGCCAGCGAAACCAUGUGAUGCGACACAAGCCGCAAAUUGCAAGAAGGAUGGGAAAGACUGCGUCCUCAUCGGCGACACAUCGCAAUGCGUUCCUCCAGGCAUGCCAGCGAAACCAUGUCAUGCGACACAAGCCGCAAAUUGCAAGAAAGAUGGGAAAGACUGCGUCCUCAUCGGCGACACAGCGCAAUGCGUUCCUCCAGGCAUGCCAGCGAAACCAUGUCAUGCGACACAAGCCGCAAAUUGCAAGAAAGAUGGGAAAGACUGCGUCCUCAUCGGCGACACAGCGCAAU